Molecule: long non-coding RNA, 526 nt
Filed under: Phoenix dactylifera (date palm)
Lineage: Eukaryota; Viridiplantae; Streptophyta; Magnoliopsida; Arecales; Arecaceae
Description: long non-coding RNA (PDAC_LNC022521)
Source: RNAcentral
GGUCAUGGUAGAAGUACAAGCCUAACUGAUGCAGAACUGAUUUUGUUCUUUUAAGUUCCUGUGUCUUAUCAAAUAAUAACUUGAUGAUUAGCCAUUCACUUGUUGUCCCAAAUUAUAGAAAUCCAUAAUGCUUCAUUUGCAAAGACCCCAAACUACUUCAGAGCACUGUUCUAAAGGUUCCAAGACUUUCUGAUUUAAACUAUAACUCUCAAUGUCCAUCAUAGCUAAGUUACCCGAAAAGGUUGAGAAUAUCUAGUUCUUUCCUUAAAUAUUCAAAGAAAAAUCUAACAUCUAAGACAUUGUUUUGUUUGAUUUCUAAAUUUUUGAUUUUGUUUUUUGUUAAAUCAAGUUAACUUAAAGUCCAAUCACAGGAUCAACCUAGGAAUUUAAGUCAACAUAAAGAAGGGAUAUUUUAGUGAAUAACAUGAUUAGUCUACCUGAAUUUUUUUGUCUUUUCAUGCGUAAAAUGUAUUUCUAUUAUAUUUCAACAACCCUUAAAUUUUGUAGGUAAAAUGUAUUUGUAUUG